RNAcentral lists this non-coding RNA (413 nucleotides) under Klebsiella oxytoca. Lineage: Bacteria; Pseudomonadati; Pseudomonadota; Gammaproteobacteria; Enterobacterales; Enterobacteriaceae. The record is from RNAcentral.
UUUUGCAGCGUGGUAUCGAUAGGCUUGAUAAACAGACUAUUAUUCUUCAGCUGGACGUCGCCUUUGGCGGUGGUCAUCUCGCCGUCCAGCGGGAUGUUCAAAUGUAAGCGAGCGCUCACAUCCCCAUCCAACUGAAGCUCGUCCAGCGCCGCGCCCAGCGUCUCUUUCAACGGCGUCUCGUUAAAGUAAGGACCAACCUCUUUACCCGGGCCGUUAACAUCGGCAUCAAUCAGCAGUUUUUCUCGCGAGUAGUCCGGUAUCACCGCGUCCAGAUUACUGGCCGUCACUUUGCCGAGCAUCGCCUUAUCGGCCUUCAUCCACAGCCCGUCAUUGAUAAAGUUAAGAUCGAUAUUCAGGCCGGUGAGCGCUGGCCAGUCAGGCUGAAAGGCGAAGGUGGCGUUUUUUAGCGGUAC